GUAAAGCCGAGCUGGAGCGGCAACGGGAGGAUCGGGGGAGCGAGGAAGGAGACACAAAAGAGGACAGCAGGGGAGGAAGAGGAGAGCUGCUGGACAGUGCUGCGAAGUUCCCCAGCUCAGUACAUGAUGUCACAAUGCCAUGCCCAGCUGUAGUCAUCAGACGCAGUGACAGGCCAUGUCUUCAGAUGGGAACUGAUCCCUCUGGGAAAAGAUAAAUGGAAGCAAAUGGAAAAUAUCAACAUAUGGAUGAAAAAGAAACAAACCAUUUACCACAGGAGCAGAAUAGAUGUAACAACAAAGAAAACAAGUGGGUCAUCCUUGCCAUCUGAGGAAGGGGCUUCGGUUUCAUCAACCAUCUAAUCUUUCCUGUUCACUUAACUACCAUGGCUCAUCACUUAGGAUCAUAGCCUUUAAUUCCACAAAAAUCAUCAAGAAUAUCUACAUUGCUCACCAAUCUACCCACCAUUUCUGUAUUCACAGUCACAAACAUGCAUUAAGUGUUAGAGGUUGUUGAUUUUUACCCACAAUAGGUAAAACAGCAGAGCACUAAGGAAUGAGCACACACUCCAGUUACACAGUAGGUAGCAGAGGAUGGUUCAGAUAUUGCAGCUAUUUAGAGAAAACACAUGGAGAUCCUUGUAUGACUAAACACUAAAUAUUUAUUGGUUAAAUACACUUAGAUAGGAAAGACCUAUCUCUAAUCUAAAGGACUACAUCGUGGAUAGGUAAGGAGAGAGAGAGAUGUUUCCAUCUACUCUCUAGGAGGAAAGGAAGGAUUGUGACUCAGCACAGGAAGUGCUGCAGAGUCAGUUCAGGGGUCAUAGAGUAGGGACAGAUAGGGAGACCCUGACUCACUGUCUCUACUCCCAAUGCCCCUAGUGGUCAUUAGGACAGUUGGUGCAAAAGGUUGAUGCACUGGAAGUUCAUCUCCAACAUUAAGUUCCUUUUUCAGUAUCAACAUGCACUGAAAGGAUGGGAACACCCCACACUUUUAUCACUCUCACCACUAUUAAAUAGGAUUUUCAAAAGGUGGUUAAUCUCUGGUGAGUGAAGAAUCAGGUGAUUACCUUUCUCCCCACCCCACCCCCCCACCCCCGCAGCUCAUUAUCUCUCUGCCAGUCACAGAACAGAGCGUUAUCAGGUCUAAGGAAUUUAACAGUUGGGGAACGGAGGAGGUCUAUAUCUGUGCUUAUUUGUUUGUUUAACUGAUGAUGUGUUACACUGAAAUGUUUUAUUUAUGUAUACCAACUUUGAUUUAUUUAUUUUGCAAUAAAGGAUCUUUAUUGUUGAGUGUUGAGGAGUUAAUAUGUGCAUUGCAUCAUCAAGAUAUCAACUUAUCUAGUGGGUUAGCUGAAGCAGGCAUCCAAGUGCAAAUUCAUACGACUAGCUUCUCACUCAACCUCCUCAUGUACUUUUGCUUCUGUGGGCAGAUGUAAUUUUUGACAAAAAUAAAUAUUAUGGUGUAUAUAUAGAAUAGUUCAGAGUUUUGGAUUAAGAUAUACUACUCUCUUCCUUGCUUUUUCCUAACAGUAAUUUUUAAAAAAUUGUUUUGUAAACCACUGAUACAAUUGUGUACAUUGCAAAAAAAAAAAAAAAGUCUGAUUGAUUGAUUGAUUUAGCCUAAUCAGUUUAGUUCCAAAUGCCUGUUCACUAUUGGUUCUAAAUGUUAUUACUUGGAUUCACAAUAAUGUGGGCAGUCUAAAAAUGGGAAAUGCUUAUAAAAAUUUGAUUUAGAAGGUAAGAGAUGCAGCACCUGUAAAAUACAUCUUCAUUAAUUUUGACUGCAUUUGCUUUUGUAUUUGAAAAUGCCAUUAACGUGUGGUACUGUUGAUCAGAUUUUGUUGCCUGAAGUCAAAUUACUGCUGCAGUAUAACUAGCUUUUGGUAAAACUGACUUGAAUUAUUCUCAGUGUUGUCUUUCUCUGGCUCUGGCAGUUACUUGUGUAUGCUGUCUUUUAAAUGGUGUGCUAUUUCUGCAUCUCCAGCUACUGAAGUGUGCCAUGGGUUA
Hemicordylus capensis (graceful crag lizard) is the source of this 2007-nucleotide long non-coding RNA. RefSeq lists it as uncharacterized. The record is from RefSeq and is a predicted model, not a curated record. The transcript has 4 exons. Lineage: Eukaryota; Metazoa; Chordata; Lepidosauria; Squamata; Cordylidae.